This 686-nucleotide ribosomal RNA is filed under the name fungal sp. CFK13. Its description in RNAcentral is "SSU rRNA". It matches the Rfam family "Eukaryotic small subunit ribosomal RNA", at positions 416 to 1108 of the family's 1831-position model. Lineage: Eukaryota; Fungi. The record is from RNAcentral.
CCAAGGAAGGCAGCAGGCGCGCAAAUUACCCAAUCCCGAUUCGGGGAGGUAGUGACAAUAAAUACUGAUACAGGGCUCUUUUGGGUCUUGUAAUUGGAAUGAGUACAAUUUAAAUCCCUUAACGAGGAACAAUUGGAGGGCAAGUCUGGUGCCAGCAGCCGCGGUAAUUCCAGCUCCAAUAGCGUAUAUUAAAGUUGUUGCAGUUAAAAAGCUCGUAGUUGAACCUUGGGCCUGGCUGGCCGGUCCGCCUCACCGCGUGCACUGGUUCGGCCGGGCCUUUCCCUCUGGGGAACCUCAUGGUCUUCACUGAUCGUGAUGGGGAACCAGGACUUUUACUGUGAAAAAAUUAGAGUGUUCAAAGCAGGCCUAUGCUCGAAUACAUUAGCAUGGAAUAAUAAAAUAGGACGUGUGGUUCUAUUUUGUUGGUUUCUAGGACCGCCGUAAUGAUUAAUAGGGACAGUCGGGGGCAUCAGUAUUCAAUUGUCAGAGGUGAAAUUCUUGGAUUUAUUGAAGACUAACUACUGCGAAAGCAUUUGCCAAGGAUGUUUUCAUUAAUCAGGAACGAAAGUUAGGGGAUCGAAGACGAUCAGAUACCGUCGUAGUCUUAACCAUAAACUAUGCCGACUAGGGAUCGGACGGUGUUACUUAUUGACCCGUUCGGCACCUUACGAGAAAUCAAAGUCUUU